GGGGAUAUGGUUUAGUGGUAUAAUGCUUCCUUAGCAGCUUCAAGUUGCCUUGGUUGGAAGAGGUCCCGAGUUCGAUUCUUGGUGUCUCCA
RNAcentral lists this transfer RNA (90 nucleotides) under Pyricularia oryzae. RNAcentral describes it as "tRNA-Ala". It matches the Rfam family "tRNA". From Rfam's summary of the family: Transfer RNA (tRNA) molecules are approximately 80 nucleotides in length. Their secondary structure includes four short double-helical elements and three loops (D, anti-codon, and T loops). The record is from RNAcentral. Lineage: Eukaryota; Fungi; Ascomycota; Sordariomycetes; Magnaporthales; Pyriculariaceae.